CUUUCACUGGAUGUGAUCUAAUUUACGAGGUCCUUUCACUGGAUGUGAUCUAAUUCAUGAUGUCCUUUCUGGAUGUGAUCUGAUUCAUGAGGUCCUUUCACUGGAUGUGAUCUAAUUCAUGAUGUCCUUUCUGGAUGUGAUCUGAUUCAUGAGGUCCUUUCACUGGAUGUGAUCUAAUUCACGAGGUCCUUUCACUGGAUGUGAUCUAAUUCACGAGGUCCUUUCACUGGAUGCGAUCAGUCCAAUUCAUGAGGUCCUUUCACUGGACGCGAUCUGAUUCACGACUGUGUGUCGUAAUUUCGUCGAUCGAUCUCCGGCGGAGAAGAAGCUCUCUUGCAUGUUAAACCAAGUACACAGUGUACACGAACGUAUCAAAUAGUCUUUACAAAGCACUGAGCACGCUUCCUUUUUGAGGGAUCAUAAUUAAUGCCAGUUCAAGGGAAUUCAGACUUGGUUAAAGUUCAUUUCAGUUUGAAUAUUUUAUUAACAUGUCCAUGCCGUAGGUCAAGACUAAAAUUGCCCAGGCUGUUUUUUACUAAAAGAAACAAAUUAUACUACAGUAAUUCCUGUUCAUUUAAUUAUACGACUUAUUGGCCAGUCAAUGCGCAUAAAAUCAUGAAUUUAAAUUGUUUAAAACUGAUGUUAACGUGAAAAUAAAACUCUGUGAAAAUGAAA
Actinia tenebrosa (Australian red waratah sea anemone) is the source of this 675-nucleotide long non-coding RNA. Lineage: Eukaryota; Metazoa; Cnidaria; Anthozoa; Actiniaria; Actiniidae. The record is from RefSeq and is a predicted model, not a curated record.